GUGCCCACUUUGGCAGCACAUAUAUUAAAAUUGGAACAGUAUAGAAAAGAUUAGUAUGGUCCCUGUGGAAGUCUGAUAUGCAAAUUUGUGAAGCAUUCCAUAUUGGA
This is a small nuclear RNA of Hyaena hyaena (striped hyena), 107 nucleotides long. NCBI's taxonomy places the organism in Eukaryota, Metazoa, Chordata, Mammalia, Carnivora, Hyaenidae. The record is from RefSeq and is a predicted model, not a curated record.